AACGUAGGUGGCGAGCGUUAUCCGGAUUCAUUGGGCGUAAAGCGCUUGUAGGUGGCCGGCUAAGUUGGACGUGAAACCCCCGGGCUCAACUCGGGGCGGCCGUUCAAUACUGGCGGGCUGGAGGGCGUCAGAGGGCAGUGGAAUUCCUGGUGUAGCAGUGAAAUGCAUAGAUAUCUGGAGGAACACCGGUGGCGAAGGCGGCAUCCUGGACCAACACUGACACUGAGGAGCGAAAGCCAGGGGAGCAAACGGG
RNAcentral lists this ribosomal RNA (253 nucleotides) under uncultured bacterium. Its description in RNAcentral is "partial 16S ribosomal RNA". It matches the Rfam family "Bacterial small subunit ribosomal RNA", at positions 524 to 776 of the family's 1533-position model. The record is from RNAcentral.